This 254-nucleotide ribosomal RNA is filed under the name uncultured bacterium. RNAcentral's name for it is "partial 16S ribosomal RNA". It matches the Rfam family "Bacterial small subunit ribosomal RNA", at positions 524 to 776 of the family's 1533-position model. The record is from RNAcentral.
UACGAAGGGGGCUAGCGUUGCUCGGAAUCACUGGGCGUAAAGCGCACGUAGGCGGAUCGUUAAGUCGGAGGUGAAAUCCUGGAGCUCAACUCCAGAACUGCCUUCGAUACUGGCGAUCUUGGAGUCCGGGAGAGGUGAGUGGAACUCCGAGUGUAGAGGUGAAAUUCGUAGAUAUUCGGAAGAACACCAGUGGCGAAGGCGGCUCACUGGCUCGUUACCGACGCUCAGGCGCGACAGCGUGGGGAGCAAACAGG